AAAGAAAGAGGGAGGCAUGCCUAACACAUGCAAGUCGAACGAGACCUUCGGGUCUAGUGGCGCACGGGUGCGUAACGCGUGGGAACCUGCCCUUAGGUUCGGAAUAACUCCCCGAAAGGGGUGCUAAUACCGGAUAAUGUCUUCGGACCAAAGAUUUAUCGCCUUUGGAUGGGCCCGCGUUGGAUUAGCUAGUUGGUAGGGUAAAAGCCUACCAAGGCGACGAUCCAUAGCUGGUCUGAGAGGAUGAUCAGCCACACUGGGACUGAGACACGGCCCAGACUCCUACGGGAGGCAGCAGUAGGGAAUAUUGGACGAUGGGCGAAAGCCUGAUCCAGCAAUGCCGCGUGAGUGAUGAAGGCCUUAGGGUUGUAAAGCUCUUUUACCCGGGAUGAUAAUGACAGUACCGGGAGAAUAAGCUCCGGCUAACUCCGUG
This 433-nucleotide ribosomal RNA is filed under the name uncultured bacterium. RNAcentral describes it as "partial 16S ribosomal RNA". It matches the Rfam family "Bacterial small subunit ribosomal RNA", at positions 31 to 507 of the family's 1533-position model. The record is from RNAcentral.